Molecule: non-coding RNA, 136 nt
Filed under: human gut metagenome
Also listed under: 1 other name
Description: glmS glucosamine-6-phosphate activated ribozyme
Rfam family: glmS glucosamine-6-phosphate activated ribozyme aptamer
About the family: This entry contains a glucosamine-6-phosphate activated ribozyme that is found in the mRNA for GlmS. GlmS is an enzyme that uses fructose-6-phosphate and glutamine to generate glucosamine-6-phosphate.
Source: RNAcentral
AACUAGCGCCAGAACCAUAAUGGUUGACGAGGAAAGUAGUUAUCGAAAAUUCGGCGGAUGCUGCUUUGGGUUUAUAUGCUCAUAAGAUUAUUAUUAAAAAACAAAAUCAACAUUGUAACAAAGUAAUAAUUACAUA